CCUACGGGUGGCAGCAGUAAGGAAUAUUGGGCAAUGGAGGCAACUCUGACCCAGCCAUGCCGCGUGAAGGAUGACGGCCCUAUGGGUUGUAAACUUCUUUUAUACGGGAAUAAACCCGGGUACGUGUACCCGGCUGAAUGUACCGUAAGAAUAAGGAUCGGCUAACUCCGUGCCAGCAGCCGCGGUAAUACGGAGGAUCCAAGCGUUAUCCGGAUUCAUGGGGGCUGAGGGGGGCGUGGGAGGAAGCGGUGAAAUCCUACAGCUUAACUGUAGAACUGCCGUUGAUACUGCAAGUCUUGAGUACAUUUGAUGUGGGCGGAAUGUGUCAUGUAGCGGUGAAAUGCUUAGAUAUGACACGGAACACCAAUUGCGAAGGCAGCUCACAAAACUGUAACUGACGCUGAGGCACGACAGCGUGGAGAUCAAACAGGAUUAGAUACCCCGGUAGUC
RNAcentral lists this ribosomal RNA (450 nucleotides) under uncultured bacterium. RNAcentral describes it as "partial 16S ribosomal RNA". It matches the Rfam family "Bacterial small subunit ribosomal RNA", at positions 338 to 795 of the family's 1533-position model. The record is from RNAcentral.